This 69-nucleotide transfer RNA is filed under the name Rattus norvegicus (Norway rat). It matches the Rfam family "tRNA". From Rfam's summary of the family: Transfer RNA (tRNA) molecules are approximately 80 nucleotides in length. The record is from Rfam by way of RNAcentral. Lineage: Eukaryota; Metazoa; Chordata; Mammalia; Rodentia; Muridae.
GGGGAUUUAGCUCAGCGGUAGAGCGCUUGCCUAGCAAGCACAAGGCCCUGGGUUCGGUCCCUAGCUCCG